Paramisgurnus dabryanus is the source of this 427-nucleotide non-coding RNA. NCBI's taxonomy places the organism in Eukaryota, Metazoa, Chordata, Actinopteri, Cypriniformes, Cobitidae. The record is from RefSeq and is a predicted model, not a curated record.
AGAAACAAGACCAGUGUUUUUGGGAGAGUAACGUUAUUUCAUACGCUGGCGUGUGCUAAAAGCACAGGUUGGGCCUCCCACUGAUGCCUCAGUGGCGAAGUUUCUACUCGACAGGUUCUGAUCAUUAGCAGAAAUCGUGGUAUGGACUGGAAGUAAUCACAGCAAGAAAUGGAGAAGACAACGUUCAGGAUAAUUGUACAUGACACUGAUAUCAGGAAAAUUACUCUUACUGGGAAGCCAAAGACCCUUGAUUCACUUGUUCAACAGCUUGAGGUGGUGUUGGAUCUUCAGUACAAGUUCUCCCUUCAGUACGAGGAUCCGGAAUUCAACAAUGCUCUCGUCAACCUCACUGACAUUGCUGACCUGCUUGACAAAGCAACCUUAAAAAUCAUCCCCCUAGUGCCAGCAGCCACACCAAGCACACAAA